ACAAACUUGGUCAUUUAGAGGAAGUAAAAGUCGUAACAAGGUCUCCGUAGGUGAACCUGCGGAGGGAUCAUUAACGAGUUAGGGUCCUCGCGGCCCGACCUCCCAACCCUUUGUGUACCUAACCUUUGUUGCUUCGGCGGGCCCUGUCGUCCCCACGCGGACGGCCGCCGGGGGUCACCCUUGCGGUCCCCUGGCCCGCGCUCGCCGAUGGCCAAACACUCCAAAUUAUUGUCUAAACGUGUCAAUUUCUGAGCGAAUUUUGAAAAUACAAGCAAAACUUUCAACAACGGAUCUCUUGGUUCUGGCAUCGAUGAAGAACGCAGC
RNAcentral lists this unclassified non-coding RNA (324 nucleotides) under uncultured fungus. RNAcentral's name for it is "partial contains small subunit ribosomal RNA, internal transcribed spacer 1, and 5.8S ribosomal RNA". The stretch from base 1 to 73 matches the Rfam family "Eukaryotic small subunit ribosomal RNA", at positions 1759 to 1831 of the family's 1831-position model. The record is from RNAcentral. Lineage: Eukaryota; Fungi.